GCAAGUCCCCCUUGCCUCCAUUCUCUCCCCUUCUAAUAUCUUGCCGGCAUUUCAAGCACUAAUCAUCCUGCUCUCCUUCCACGCAUCGUCCUUUAUUCUCGAUACGUCUUCUCCGGUGAAUCUGUGGCAGUGCAAGGUGGUGAGGCAGUUGCGGCGGCACCAGAUCUCUUCCACAGCCACUCAGUCCUGCAUUCCGCCAGCCAUUACAUUCAGCUCCCAGCUCUAUCCCCCACAAGUAGAGGAAAAGCCGUCUGCCCC
This 258-nucleotide long non-coding RNA is filed under the name Spirodela polyrhiza (greater duckweed). RNAcentral describes it as "long non-coding RNA (SPOL_LNC000009)". The record is from RNAcentral. Lineage: Eukaryota; Viridiplantae; Streptophyta; Magnoliopsida; Alismatales; Araceae.